RNAcentral lists this non-coding RNA (29 nucleotides) under Mus musculus (house mouse). Lineage: Eukaryota; Metazoa; Chordata; Mammalia; Rodentia; Muridae. The record is from RNAcentral.
UGCAAACUCAUUUCCCCGGGUGAGAGGCC